Molecule: long non-coding RNA, 718 nt
Organism: Lutra lutra (Eurasian river otter)
Lineage: Eukaryota; Metazoa; Chordata; Mammalia; Carnivora; Mustelidae
Exons: 2
Source: RefSeq, a predicted model, not a curated record
GCACCCAGGCCCCUCUCUUUUGGUUUUAAGGGUGGGGUGGGGGGCGAUGAGAAAGGAAAAGAGACCAAUCACAAUUGACAAGAAUUAUUAGAAACCUUCUCUUGAUAAUUAUCGAUGUACAGAUUGUCAGCACACCAGGUGAUUUCUAAUCCCAGCCCAGUUCCCCUCCCGGCUUCUUAAUGGCUGCGGGCCACUUCCUCUUGGGACCGGGCCAGAGUAAGCUCAGGAAAUGCAAACUUUUAAUUCUGGAAUUAGUAAAGCAUAUUAGGAAAGGAAAUCCACAAGUGAAGAAAUCACAUUAUGAAUUCUGACGCCAAGGGAAAAGAUUGUGAGUUCAUUGGGGGCAGGACCAUUUUACUCAUUUUGCUGCGGGGCCCAAGUCAUUGGUCUGGUCCUUGUUCCAAGAUUACCCAGGAUUCAGCCUCUCCCAUUCUUGUAGGUCUUCAGACGUCCAUCUGGUGCCUUCAGCUCUAGCCACUGAGCUGUGUGCAGUCCUGCUUUGCACUGUUCUGCAGCAGGGGAGAUGCCCUGCUUGGAUGAAGACCCAACUAAAGGGGCCCUCUUGAGAUUGGGUUAAAGAAUUCUCCAUGUGCUGCCCCACCACAACACUUACUACAGAGUCCUCCCCAUUAUACUAGAAGCUGUGGGUGCCAGGAACAAAAUUUUGGUCACAGUUAUCUCUAUUCAGCAAAUGAGUACAUAGAAGAUGCUAGAAAAA